This 408-nucleotide ribosomal RNA is filed under the name uncultured bacterium. Its description in RNAcentral is "partial 16S ribosomal RNA". It matches the Rfam family "Bacterial small subunit ribosomal RNA", at positions 28 to 526 of the family's 1533-position model. The record is from RNAcentral.
GACGAACGCUGGCGGCGUGCUUAACACAUGCAAGUCGAACGAAGUGGCGAACGGGUGAGUAACGCGUAAUCAACCUGCCCUUCAGAGGGGUCCAGCAGUUGGAAACGACUCCUAAUACCGCAUACUGAAGGAGGGGAUUGCGUCUUAUUCGCUAGUUGGAGGGGGAACGGCCCACCAAGGCGAUGAUCAGUAGACGGGCUGGGAGGGUGAACGGCCACAUGGGGAAUGAGGCACGGCCCAGACUCCUACGGGAGGCAGCAGUGGGGAAUCUUCCGCAAAGGACGAAAGUCUGACGGAGCAACGCCGCGGGGGUGAUGACGGCCUUCGGGUUGUAAAGCUCUGUUAAUCGGGACGCGGUACCGAAAUAGAAAGCCACGGCUAACUACGUGCCAGCAGCCGCGGUAAUUC